Molecule: unclassified non-coding RNA, 324 nt
Filed under: plant metagenome
Description: partial contains 5.8S ribosomal RNA, internal transcribed spacer 2, and large subunit ribosomal RNA
Rfam family: 5.8S ribosomal RNA (bases 1-105)
Source: RNAcentral
GAAAUGCGAUACGUAAUGUGAAUUGCAGAAUUCAGUGAAUCAUCGAGUCUUUGAACGCACAUUGCGCCCCCUGGUAUUCCGGGGGGCAUGCCUGUCCGAGCGUCAUUGCUGCCCUCAAGCACGGCUUGUGUGUUGGGCCCCCGUCCCCCCCCCAAGGGGACGGGCCCGAAAGGCAGCGGCGGCACCGUGUCCGGUCCUCGAGCGUAUGGGAAGCAACUUUUUGUCACCCGCUCCUGUAGGUCCGGCCGGCGGCCUGCCCAACCCCAACCUUUUUUUCAACCAGGUUGACCUCGGAUCAGCUAGGGAUACCCGCUGAACUUAAGC